AGGAUAAUAGUUAAAAUAAAACAAUUAAUUUGCACUUAAAAAAUAUUGAAUUUCAAUUUAUCUUA
This 65-nucleotide transfer RNA is filed under the name Nosodendron sp. BMNH 840466. RNAcentral's name for it is "tRNA-Ala". Lineage: Eukaryota; Metazoa; Arthropoda; Insecta; Coleoptera; Nosodendridae. The record is from RNAcentral.